Molecule: ribosomal RNA, 396 nt
Filed under: uncultured bacterium
Lineage: Bacteria
Description: partial 16S ribosomal RNA
Rfam family: Bacterial small subunit ribosomal RNA
Source: RNAcentral
GAUAUUGGUCAUGGGGGGGAACCCUAAACCAGCGACACCGCGUGGGGGAAGAAGGUUUUGGGAUGGUAAACUUCGUCCUCCGGGGAAGAUAAUGCCGGUACCCGAUGAGGAAGCCACGGCUAACUCCGUGCCAGCAGCCGCGGUAAUACGUAGGUGGCAAGCGUUGUCCGGAAUUACUGGGUGUAAAGGGAGCGUAGGCGGGAAGGCAAGUUGAAUGUUAAAUCUAUCGGCUCAACCGAUAGCCGUGUUCAAAACUGUCUUUCUUGAGUGAAGUAGAGGCAAGCAGAAUUCCUAGUGUAGCGGUGAAAUGCGUAGAGAUUAGGAGGAAUACCAGUGGCGAAGGCGGCUUGCUGGGCUUUUACUGACGCUGAGGCUCGAAAGUGUGGGGAGCAAACA